UACGUAGGGUGCGAGCGUUGUCCGGAAUUAUUGGGCGUAAAGAGCUCGUAGGCGGUUUGUCGCGUCUGCCGUGAAAGUCCGGGGCUCAACUCCGGAUCUGCGGUCGAUACGGGCAUCACUGGAGUUCGGCAGGGGAGACUGGAAUUCCUGGUGUAGCGGUGAAAUGCGCAGAUAUCAGGAGGAACACCGGUGGCGAAGGCAGCCCCCUGGGCUGACACUGACGCUCAGGCACGAAAGCGUGGGGAGCAAACAGG
RNAcentral lists this ribosomal RNA (254 nucleotides) under uncultured bacterium. RNAcentral describes it as "partial 16S ribosomal RNA". It matches the Rfam family "Bacterial small subunit ribosomal RNA", at positions 524 to 776 of the family's 1533-position model. The record is from RNAcentral.